UCAAUGGAGAGUUUGAUCCUGGCUCAGGACGAACGCUGGCGGCGUGCUUUAUACAUGCAAGUCGAACGAUGAAGUUCCUUCGGGAAUGGAUUAGUGGCGAACGGGUGAGGAACACGUGAGAAACCUGCCUUUCAUUCUGGGAUAACACCGGGAAACCGGUGCUAAUACCGGAUACUCCAUCUUGGCGGCAUCGCCGAGCUGGGAAAAAAUUUUGAUGAAAGAUGGUCUCGCGGCCUAUCAGCUAGUUGGUGAGGUAAAGGCUCACCAAGGCGACGACGGGUAGCCGGCCUGAGAGGGCGACCGGCCACACUGGGACUGAGACACGGCCCAGACUCCUACGGGAGGCAGCAGUAGGGAAUAUUGGGCAAUGGGCGAAAGCCUGACCCAGCGACGCCGCGUGAGGGAUGAAGGUCUUCGGAUUGUAAACCUCUUUCAGUAGGGAAGAAGCGAAAGUGACGGUACCUAAAGAAGAAGCACCGGCUAACUAUGUGCCAGCAGCCGCGGUAAUACAUAGGGUGCAA
Molecule: ribosomal RNA, 521 nt
Filed under: Candidatus Nanopelagicaceae bacterium
Lineage: Bacteria; Bacillati; Actinomycetota; Actinomycetes; Candidatus Nanopelagicales; Candidatus Nanopelagicaceae
Description: bacterial SSU rRNA
Rfam family: Bacterial small subunit ribosomal RNA
Source: RNAcentral